RNAcentral lists this long non-coding RNA (2801 nucleotides) under Durio zibethinus. RNAcentral's name for it is "long non-coding RNA (DZIB_LNC000233)". The record is from RNAcentral. Lineage: Eukaryota; Viridiplantae; Streptophyta; Magnoliopsida; Malvales; Malvaceae.
UAUCGGCUCGGUCCAUCUUAUCAAGUAUCUACAACAACAGCACAGACUUCAAGUAAUGUAAAAGUUAGUUGUUGAUGUAUCCAACAACGUUUCUAGGAUAAAUCCCUUUAUAAGAACAUUCAAAGUGGAUGCAAAGAGAUAUCGGAAGCAUCUUGUACUUAUUGACAGAUAGAUCAGCUUCAGUAACCCUGACAAGAAAAAACAAUCAAACCAACACAAUCAGGCAUUAAUUAAAAGCCAUUUACAUAUAUUAUAGGUAAUACCAAUAUCCACAGCAUUAAUUAGAUGUUCUAACAUUAAAAUUAAACCUGCAUGAAGAAAUACAAGGAAUUAGGUAAAUGUUAACUGCACAUUCUAAUUGCAAAUAUUCUUGUGAAACCAAAUCAACACAAAACAACCUCCAGUAUAUUGCAAAAAGAUCAAACACAAUCAAAACCACCCUGUUUUAAGAGGCAUUAGCAACAAUUCAGUACAGAUGUAGUCAUCUAUAAGUUAAAAUGACAGUUUCAAAUCAUAGGCAGGUGAGGCCCUCAUCAAGUCCAGGAUUUAUUCAUUUUCUGUGUUAUUCUGGAAUGAAGAUAAAGUCUGUUCUAGGGUAGUUGAUAAAUAAAAAUCAAACUGUGAGUAUCAAAUUGUUAACAUUGAUGCAUAAAUCACACCUUUCACCUUGAAAUUCAUACCAUUUAUUACUCUCUAAAAGGACAGAGGGAUCAAUACAGUUACACCAAAAAUGAAACUCGAAUUCCAAAGUUCCAAAUAGGUAUUAACACACUAUAAAUAGUUUCCAUUUAAGCGAAGACCUAUGUUAGAAGAAAUAUAUAUAGAAAUAUUCAAUUUAAGUAACGAACUCCCAUGCAGAUUCUUCCAGUAUUACAUUUAAGUUUAGUAUUUCUUCUAGGAUCUCUUAUAUUUAAUUUUUUUCAAGAUCUUUUUGUACCAAAUGUAUUUAUCACCAGCAUAAUGAAAGAGCAGAUCAUAAUAGAAAACAAAUAUUUCAAAAUGCCCACUUCCCUAAAACUUUGGAUUGAACAAAGCACUGAAAACCUAAUGAACUGUGUUACUUUCAUCAAAUAGCCUUAACUGCUAAAGUAGAAGCAUUUCUAAUUAUGUGAAAAGGUCAUGCCAAUUGACUUAUUAGUUUAGCAGCAAAAUAAAAAUAAUAAUAGCAAUAAUAAAAGAAAAUGUAAAGUCGUAGAUAAUAAAUCUAUUUCUUCAAAGUUGUUUAAGAUAAAGUUACAAAAUUUUCUGUAAACUUAAAUUUAACCAAAUUAACUAAAAAUACUACAGUUCUGGCAAUUGAUUACAUAGUAAAAGCUAAAAUAAUGCAUUUUUUUCCACUCAUUAAUCUAAUUUGGAAAAUGAGAAUUAUUAUUAACAUACAGUCUAUCCUGGCCUCAUAGCCUAGGGUUAAGACUUAAGAUCUAUGUUAGAUUCAUUAUUAGAUGUUAAAAUUUAGUCACCAGCAACAUGUUAAUCAACAGUCACCCGGUCCCUUGGAAUUAAAAAUUCAUAUCAUCUCCAAGAAUCCAUGAGACUUAGUCUAAAUUCCACACUCUCUUCUAAUCACGUGUAUCUAUAAAAAGAAAGACAUUCAUAUGCACAACAGAAUAAGGAUGAAACGAAUAAAGUUCACAUUAAAAAUCAUUCAAAACCUUUUCUAUCACAAGAACUACAAACAAAAUAAAAGAACUUUCAUCUUGAAUAUUAGAUCUAAAACUAAAAACCCCACAAAUAACUCAAGACUUGAGCUUCAGAAACUAAAUAAAAUCUCUCAAAUACAACCCAGAGACGUGAAAAACCUCCAGGAUCCACACAAAAAACAAUAAAAACAAAGCAGCCAGUACAGCAAUCUACUACUUUAAAAAAUAAGUUAGCUUAUACCCUUAAAACUCAAAAAUCAUAUCAGAGAACUAACUAAUUCAAUAAAGAAAAACAAACCCAGAUUAGUUUCCUUUUUUUUUGGGUAAAUGCAUUUUAUUCAUCCAAAGAAGCAGACCAAAUCUGCUACAGUAAACUUGUUAAAACUAAGACAUUACAAACAAAAAAAAAAUUAACUAAUUAAUUCAAUAAAGAAAAACAAACCCAGAUUAGUUUCAGCAGCAUAACUAAUUUUCUAUCAAGAUUGCUAGCAACCAUGUUGUGAGUGCCGGACUCUUAGUUUCAGUAAAGAGAAAUCACUCUUGAUAACCUCAAAUUCAAAAAAAAAAAAAAGAAAAGAAAAAUUUACCAAAUUUCCUUCUUUAAAUGAUUAGCAUACCAUCCAAAUGAUACUGUUAUAUAAAUAUAUAACAGUUCAAAUCCACGCAUACAUAGCCCAAAAACCUAACCAUAACCAUCAAUUAAUUUCCUAAACCAUGGAAACAAUAAGGUACGUAUAACACAUAAGAAGCAAAGUUACCUCCAAAAAGUAAGCUAUAAAGUCGAAAUUGAGGGCAAAAUUAAAGAAAUUAAAGAAGAAAACUGUGAACUAAUAAACAAUAAGACGAUUAAGCUCGAAGGAAAUGAAAAGAAAUUUGUAGAAAUACCGUGAAGAAAUCCAAAUUUAGAGAAAAUUUGGAGAAAACUGAAGGAUCUGACAGACGGGUAAAGCCAUGUUGAAAAAGCUGGAGAAUCUUUAAACAGAGAAAACCAAUUUGUUUUUGGUACGAAUAAAAGAAGAAGAGAAUUUGAGAAAGCGUGAAAAGAGAAAGGGAGAGAGGAAGAGUAGAAACCGAAAUUAUUGAUACGGGCGGCUCUAGGUUUUUUCGUUAACAAAAAGGAAGACCCAUUUUUUAAUUAUUUUAUUUUGUCUUUUAUGAAAA